RNAcentral lists this ribosomal RNA (1200 nucleotides) under Bacillus subtilis. Its description in RNAcentral is "bacterial SSU rRNA". It matches the Rfam family "Bacterial small subunit ribosomal RNA", at positions 34 to 1207 of the family's 1533-position model. The record is from RNAcentral. Lineage: Bacteria; Bacillati; Bacillota; Bacilli; Caryophanales; Bacillaceae.
CAAUGGCGGGUGCCCUAUACAUGCAAGUCGAGCGGACAGAUGGGAGCUUGCUCCCUGAUGUUAGCGGCGGACGGGUGAGUAACACGUGGGUAACCUGCCUGUAAGACUGGGAUAACUCCGGGAAACCGGGGCUAAUACCGGAUGGUUGUUUGAACCGCAUGGUUCAAACAUAAAAGGUGGCUUCGGCUACCACUUACAGAUGGACCCGCGGCGCAUUAGCUAGUUGGUGAGGUAACGGCUCACCAAGGCAACGAUGCGUAGCCGACCUGAGAGGGUGAUCGGCCACACUGGGACUGAGACACGGCCCAGACUCCUACGGGAGGCAGCAGUAGGGAAUCUUCCGCAAUGGACGAAAGUCUGACGGAGCAACGCCGCGUGAGUGAUGAAGGUUUUCGGAUCGUAAAGCUCUGUUGUUAGGGAAGAACAAGUACCGUUCGAAUAGGGCGGUACCUUGACGGUACCUAACCAGAAAGCCACGGCUAACUACGUGCCAGCAGCCGCGGUAAUACGUAGGUGGCAAGCGUUGUCCGGAAUUAUUGGGCGUAAAGGGCUCGCAGGCGGUUUCUUAAGUCUGAUGUGAAAGCCCCCGGCUCAACCGGGGAGGGUCAUUGGAAACUGGGGGAACUUGAGUGCAGAAGAGGAGAGUGGAAUUCCACGUGUAGCGGUGAAAUGCGUAGAGAUGUGGAGGAACACCAGUGGCGAAGGCGACUCUCUGGUCUGUAACUGACGCUGAGGAGCGAAAGCGUGGGGAGCGAACAGGAUUAGAUACCCUGGUAGUCCACGCCGUAAACGAUGAGUGCUAAGUGUUAGGGGGGUUUCCGCCCCUUAGUGCUGCAGCUAACGCAUUAAGCACUCCGCCUGGGGAGUACGGUCGCAAGACUGAAACUCAAAGAGAAUUGACGGGGGGCCCGCACAGCGGUGGGAGCAUGUGGUUUUAAUUCGAAGCAGCGCGAAGAACUUUACCAGGUCUUGACGAUCCUCUGACAUCCUAGAGGAUAGGACGUUCGCCUUUCGGGGGGCAGAGUGACAGAUGGUGCAUGGAUGGUCGUCAGCUCGUGUCGUGAGAUGGUUGGGAGUUAAGUCCCACUACUAGCGCAAGCCGUUGAUCCUUACUGCGCAUUCAGUUGGCACUCUAAGGUGACUGGCCGUGUACAAGACCGGAGAUGUGCGAUUAACGUCGAAAUCCGCUCGUAGUGUGGA